Molecule: transfer RNA, 526 nt
Filed under: uncultured Prochlorococcus sp.
Lineage: Bacteria; Bacillati; Cyanobacteriota; Cyanophyceae; Synechococcales; Prochlorococcaceae
Description: partial 16S-23S ribosomal RNA intergenic spacer
Rfam family: tRNA (bases 212-284)
Source: RNAcentral
CAGGGAGACAACAAAAUGUUUAAUAUUAUUAUUUUGUCACCUUAGGUCGAUCGGUAUCUCACGUUUUUAAUUCAUUAAGAAUUUCAUUUCCUAAGUUUUUCUAGGUCACACCCAUUAUUUUUCCUGGGCCAUUAGCUCAGGUGGUUAGAGCGCACCCCUGAUAAGGGUGAGGUCCCUGGUUCAAGUCCAGGAUGGCCCAUAUCUCUAUGUUGGGGGUAUAGCUCAGUUGGUAGAGCGCCUGCUUUGCAAGCAGGAUGUCAGCGGUUCGAGUCCGCUUACCUCCACUGAUCACCACCUCUUCCAUAAUUGGUAGAAAGGAAAAUGUUUUGAGUUGUGAUCAAAUUCUGAACGAAUCUAGCUUCCUAAUUCAAUCAUUAAGAUGCUGGACUCAUUGAUUAAUUUCAUUGUUUUCAGAGAACCUUGACAACUGCAUAGAUUUUUUUAAAGACAAUAAGCAUCUUUAAUGAUGCAGAUUUAUUAUUUGUGCGAAUGCAUUAAUAACAAUUCUAUUAAGCUGAUGCUUCAA